GAGUUUGAUCAUGGCUCAGGACGAACGCUGGCGGCGUGCUUAACACAUGCAAGUCGAACGAUGAAGCGGUGCUUGCACCGUGGAUUAGUGGCGAACGGGUGAGUAAUACGUGAGUGACCUACCUUUGACUCUGGGAUAAGCCUGGGAAACUGGGUCUAAUACCGGAUACGACCAAUCUCUGCAUGGGGUGUUGGUGGAAAGCGUUAUGGAGUGGUUUAGAUGGGCUCACGGCCUAUCAGCUUGUUGGUGAGGUAAUGGCUUACCAAGGCGACGACGGGUAGCCGGCCUGAGAGGGUGACCGGCCACACUGGGACUGAGACACGGCCCAGACUCCUACGGGAGGCAGCAGUGGGGAAUAUUGCACAAUGGGCGCAAGCCUGAUGCAGCGACGCCGCGUGAGGGAUGACGGCCUUCGGGUUGUAAACCUCUGUUAGCAUCGAAGAAGCGAAAGUGACGGUAGGUGCAGAGAAAGCGCCGGCUAACUACGUGCCAGCAGCCGCGGUAAUACGUAGGGCGCGAGCGUUGUCCGGAAUUAUUGGGCGUAAAGAGCUUGUAGGCGGUUGGUCGCGUCUGCUGUGAAAGGCCGGGGCUUAACUCCGGUUUUGCAGUGGGUACGGGCUAACUAGAGUGCAGUAGGGGAGACUGGAAUUCCUGGUGUAGCGGUGGAAUGCACAGAUAUCAGGAGGAACACCGAUGGCGAAGGCAGGUCUCUGGGCUGUAACUGACGCUGAGAAGCGAAAGCAUGGGGAGCGAACAGGAUUAGAUACCCUGGUAGUCCAUGCCGUAAACGUUGGGCACUAGGUGUGGGGGACAUUCCACGUUUUCCGCGCCGUAGCUAACGCAUUAAGUGCCCCGCCUGGGGAGUACGGCCGCAAGGCUAAAACUCAAAGGAAUUGACGGGGGCCCGCACAAGCGGCGGAGCAUGCGGAUUAAUUCGAUGCAACGCGAAGAACCUUACCAAGGCUUGACAUGCAUUAGAUCGCGUCAGAGAUGGCGUUUCCCUUCGGGGCUGGUGUACAGGUGGUGCAUGGUUGUCGUCAGCUCGUGUCGUGAGAUGUUGGGUUAGAUCCCGCAACGAGCGCAACCCUCGUUCUAUGUUGCCAGCGGUUCGGCCGGGGACUCAUAGGAGACUGCCGGGGUCAACUCGGAGGAAGGUGGGGAUGACGUCAAAUCAUCAUGCCCCUUAUGUCUUGGGCUUCACGCAUGCUACAAUGGCCGGUACAGAGGGUUGCGAUACUGUGAGGUGGAGCUAAUCCCUUAAAGCCGGUCUCAGUUCGGAUUGGGGUCUGCAACUCGACCCCAUGAAGUCGGAGUCGCUAGUAAUCGCAGAUCAGCAACGCUGCGGUGAAUACGUUCCCGGGCCUUGUACACACCGCCCGUC
RNAcentral lists this ribosomal RNA (1381 nucleotides) under uncultured bacterium. RNAcentral's name for it is "bacterial SSU rRNA". It matches the Rfam family "Bacterial small subunit ribosomal RNA". The record is from RNAcentral.